AUUGAACGCUGGCGGCAUGCCUUACACAUGCAAGUCGAACGGUAACGGGCCUUCGGGUGCCGACGAGUGGCGAACGGGUGAGUAAUGCAUCGGAACGUACCUUUCAGUGGGGGAUAACGUAGCGAAAGUUACGCUAAUACCGCAUAUUCUGUGAGCAGGAAAGCAGGGGAUCGCAAGACCUUGCGCUGAUUGAGCGGCCGAUAUCAGAUUAGCUAGUUGGUGAGGUAAAGGCUCACCAUGGCGACGAUCUGUAGCGGGUCUGAGAGGAUGAUCCGCCACACUGGAACUGAGACACGGUCCAGACUCCUACGGGAGGCAGCAGUGGGGAAUUUUGGACAAUGGGGGCAACCCUGAUCCAGCCAUGCCGCGUGAGUGAAGAAGGCCUUCGGGUUGUAAAGCUCUUUCGGCCGGGAAGAAAUCGUAUGGGUUAAUACCCUGUGCGGAUGACGGUACCGGCAUAAGAAGCACCGGCUAACUACGUGCCAGCAGCCG
This 492-nucleotide ribosomal RNA is filed under the name uncultured bacterium. RNAcentral's name for it is "bacterial SSU rRNA". It matches the Rfam family "Bacterial small subunit ribosomal RNA", at positions 30 to 517 of the family's 1533-position model. The record is from RNAcentral.